UGGACUCAAUAUCCCAAACUCCGAAUAAAUGGUGACUUCCUUCCCACCAUGAUUUUUCAUGUUGGUGUUACUUUCGGAGCCGCUUGAAAGUUGAACAGAAUAAACCAUCAGCUAUUGGUCAUGCUCUUAGCAAUUUAUGGAAUGGUUCAAAAAGCUUCAGAAAUGCAGGAGUGGCAAUUCAUAUCUGGAUCCACCUCCCCACCAGCUGCACCCUCUAUUAAUCUCCAGAAGUAACAAGAAUCUGGAAAUCUUCUCAGCGAAACCACAUUCUUGCAAUCAAUCACUAAACGACAACCCUACCAAAGGUUCCCAACAUCAGCAGCGAAACCUCUAAAACAACGAAGAACCACCGUGAUACAACACACAAAUCUAAUAAGAGCUUGUAAACAUGAGCAUAGCCACUACCACUCCACAAUUCCUAAACCCCAGUCCCCACAUUUGUGAAACUGAACAAUGAGCCCCACAAUACAAAACUUUGCGGAACGAGAAUCGUCACGGUCAUGCAAACCAUCAAACAAUUGCCAAAAAAAAAAAGAAUUGAAGUCUACGGAGGGUUGCCUCGUGAAUCAGCAAAGGAAGCUCACAGCGUAUAGAGAAAUGCGCAACAGCAAUCGGGGGGUGUAAUAACAGCGUCAACGUUCUGUGAGAAUGCUUCAUGAAGUCUCACUCUCGCAAUCUCACUCACUCCCUUUCCUUCACUUCUUCUUCGUCUUCUGAACGAUUCCAUAGCCACUCAAUUCGAUUCUAAAACCCUAAACCCCAAAUUCAAUACCUUUUCAACAUCGACAAUUCUGGUCGUAGUGAACAACCUCUCUCACAAACUCUCGAUUGAAAGCUUGAUUGAAGAGGAAGAGUCGAGCAACCCUGGGCAAAAAGCAUUGCCUGCGGCGAU
This 892-nucleotide long non-coding RNA is filed under the name Physcomitrium patens. Its description in RNAcentral is "long non-coding RNA (PPAT_LNC014886)". The record is from RNAcentral. Lineage: Eukaryota; Viridiplantae; Streptophyta; Bryopsida; Funariales; Funariaceae.